Molecule: ribosomal RNA, 404 nt
Filed under: Verrucomicrobiota bacterium
Lineage: Bacteria; Pseudomonadati; Verrucomicrobiota
Description: Verrucomicrobia bacterium partial 16S ribosomal RNA
Rfam family: Bacterial small subunit ribosomal RNA
Source: RNAcentral
UGGGGAAUAUUGCACAAUGGGGGAAACCCUGAUGCAGCGACGCCGCGUGAGCGAUGAAGGCUUUCGAGUCGUAAAGCUUUGUCCCAUGGGAAGAUAAUGACGGUACCAUAGAAGAAAGCCCCGGCUAAUUACGUGCCAGCAGCCGCGGUAAUACGUAAGGGGCGAGCGUUGUCCGGAAUUAUUGGGCGUAAAGAGUGCUUAGGCGGCAAAUUAAGUCAGGUGUGAAAACUAAGGGCUCAACCCAUAGAUUGCUUCUGAAACUGAUAUGCUUGAGUCAAGGAGAGGAAAGUGGAAGUCCUAGUGUAGCGGUGGAAUGCGUAGAUAUUAGGAGGAAUAACCGUGGCGAAGGCGACUUUCUGGACUUGAACUGACGCUGAGGCACGAAAGAGUGGGGAGCAAACAGG